CACCGUCGAACCACCUCGCCGGCCAUGCCGCGGAAGGAUAAGGCCUCCACCGAGGCUCCACUCCCCCCAGAUAUUUUCUUCCCACUCGCCUCACUCCUCCUCGGCGCCCUCCCUCCCAGAUCCACCUCUCCCCCUCUGCCGAUCUGGAGGAAGGGCCGAACGCCACGGUCGCCGCGCCUUCCUCGCUGCCAUGGCCAUCGUCCUCCUCUGGUCGCGCCACCGUGCAAUCCACUCCGUCGGCCUCCUCUGCGUCGACUACGGCGGCCAUCUCAAGCUGGGAGGCACUGCUGCGCCGGAUCCUUGUCGUCUUCAACCUCGAGCGCCCACGGUAGCCGCCGCAAUCUUCGUCGAUUCGCGACCACGAGCGCCUCCCCGAGCAAGUUGAACUCCUCUACGUGAUCCCUGUGAGCUCCCCUUCACUUCCCCCUUGAUCCCCUUCUUGCGGGCAUCCUCUAGCCAUAGACACCCUCCGGCCGAAGCUCGUCGUCCGCCAUGGCCGGAUCCCCGCUCCUCGCGCGUGCUCGCCCGCUGUUGUCGCGCGUCCAUCGCGCCCAGGGCCUGUCCCGGCGUGCCCACGCCUUGCUGGCCGCGUGCUGGCUCAGCCUCCCGCGCCGCAGCCGCCCGCGGCCCUGUCGUUGCUCUGCUGCUCUUUGUACUGCUACUGCUCUUGCGUACGGCCCUGUCCUCGCCACCGCUCACUCCUGCUCCUUGUGCUGCUCUACUACUAGCCGCUGUCGCUGUGUAGUGCAGCUAGCUACUGCCGCUUCCACUGCAGAAUUGCUGCUGCCGCUCUUGUCCAUGGCUGCCAGGCCCCUGUUUGUGUGUGUGUAUGGACGGUUGGGACUCUGGAUGAGACCGGCCCUGUUUAGGUUAGUAGCUAAUCUCUACUCCUAACUAGUAUAACGCCCGUGCGUUGCCACGGGCUCUUCAAAAUUUAUAAUCAGUAUCUUUCAUUUGUCAUCCCCUCAUAUUGGGUGAUUAUGGGGUGCUCUAAUUAGAAACACAACAAUCAAAUAUUAGGAAAUUUCACCGAACGAACAACAACGAAUAAUACGAUAUCUAUCAAACGAAUAAAAUGAGGUCAUAUUUUUGGUCCGUCAUGCACUUCUGUUGAAAAGUGCCUAUCCCUUUUAGAAUCAACCCACUGUUUGCUCGCACGCAAAAAAAAUACAUCUCUAAAGUGGGGAACCGAUCGGUGCCAAAAAGAACUCAAACUCCUAUCCAAUCUCGACUUCGUGCUCUUCCACUUCCAUUGAUAAAGAUGGGACGUCAAGGGUUUCAUCAUGAUGACCUCGAGCAGCCGCCGACAUCCCUCCCCACAUCUACCCCUACCCCCUGCUGCCGCUUGCACUGUCCUUGCUCGUCGAGGGAGCUAGGGACACAAUGUUCUCUAGGAUGGGCAUGACCAGAUCCACGAGGAGGCCACAUUCUUCCAUGGGAACCCAACCAAGCACACCACCCUCCGCAACCAUCCAAUCCCAGCCUAACAAAGUCAAGACCCGCCAUCGAUCCACAAAUCAGGCUCGCCGCAUCCAGGUUCACUGCAAGUCUGCGACGAGUCUGUAGUCGACAUCUUGACUUUGGCUAUCCCCACGGAAGAAUCAUCGGAUCCUGCUUACUUUUACCAUCACUUCGUCUCUUCCCAAGGCAGCGACACCACCCAGCCAAUCACCACCACCGCUUGCGGCUUGCCUACAUAAAAUCAUAUGAGAAAUCCCCACGGCGGUGCUGUAAGAUCACCUUGGCGACCUCGACAGUGACCGACUGGUCUAAGAUCUAAGCUAGCCGCUCUUUGUAGAAACCAAUAGAAGUAGGCAUGUGACUCAGAUUUGUUCUUUGGUGUGCAUGCGUUUCUUGCUGCCCACCAGCUCUUGUCUACAACUCGCCUAUAUCUGUACCAGCUCUUGGUCUACAACUCGCCUAUCUCCAUGCUCGAGAAUCUGGAGUGUAGUAGUUAAAAAAAAGACCAACUUUAUACUCAUUUGAUAAUUCAACGUGCAUGGGCAUGCACCGGAUGGAAUUCACGCUCUAUGUAAAAUCUGGAGUGUAAUGACCGUGGUUGAUGAAUGAAAGUCUUAUUUCCGCAAAAAAAGAAGUUAAAGGUGAAUAUAUUCCUCAUGUGUAGAGUACAAACAGAGCAUAUAGUGGUGACCUAGUUUCUUUUGAUUGAGGUGAAUACAUGCCAGUACUAAAAUCUUCUAAUUUCUUUUGAUUGAAUCCAAGUUGUCUCUUUUCUUUCGAUUCAGCAAAGCUAGUUCGAAUAAAUAGGAUUGUCUAUAUCUUAACUCCUUUGCCAAUUAAGCUUCAAAAUUGCAGUUUGAUUCAGAAACAAUCGAACGAUUGUGUCGUUAACUCCAGGAGAUUCUCGUUAGAUCUUAGGAACGCUGCAAGCCAUCAUAUCAUAUAAGAAUAAGAUCGACAAUUGAUAUGGACAGAUCUUACUACAAUCAUAUUACUACUACUCGCACACUGAUAUGGACAGAUCAUACAAGAUCGAAGGUACGUAAGACAAGGUCCUCUAGAUUACGAAAAACUGUUUGCUUCGCCUCAUGUGAGACGGACCCCGAGCUAUUCUUCAAUGGCGCACCGCGCGCACAUAUUUGGCGGCGAAGUAACUCGUUAUCCUAAGGACGUCCCCGUCAAGCCCGUCGACAGCGUCACCCUUUUCCAUCUCCCCGGCUGGACCUCGCCGAGUUUCCACCGUUGACGGCCUGCCGCCGCCGCAUUCUGCUGCACGAAGGAGAUCAACGACGGUUUAGACGUGCACGGGUGCAGCAGAGCAGAUCGACCGACGGAUCGGUUGACAACACGUACCGUCGCAGGCCGCGUGGCCGUGGUGGGGGGCGGCGGCGCUCGAGGUGCCCUGCGCCUCGCAUUCGCAGGGCGAGAUGGCGCUCAUGGCGCUGGUGCCGAUCUCCUCCUCCGGACGAACGAGGAGCCAGCCGUCCAAGCUGGGCGAGGGAGGCAAUGGCGGCCUGCAGCGCUGCCGGCUCGACUCCUUGCAGUAGGCGAUCGCGCUCGCGACGGCCUCCUCCCUCGCCCGGGCGGUGCCGUCCUCGCCGGCGGCGACCCUCCCGUCCGGCUUCAUCGCCUGGCCCUUCCGUCUCCCGCGCCCAUCUGGCCGCUCGUCCGCAGCACCGGCGCGCUGCAGAUUUCUGGCAAACCUGCGCAGGCACCGCCUUAGCGCGUGGCCCUUCCGUGCGGCCGUGUCACCGCCCUCCCUCACCGGUGAGCGCGCGCUGUUCGACGAGCUGCUUCGGGCGCCGAGCAAGGAGGAGGAGGGGGACGACCUCGACGCCGGGGAGGAGCCCGGGUCGGAGGCCACCUUAGCGUCGCCAGGGGCGAACGCCGGCGACGAGGAGCUGCCCUGCUCAACGCUCGAAGCGCCGUCCGUGGUCGCUGCCGUCGCCACGGCCGGCGCCAUCGCCGCCCACACGGCGCACGGGAACAUCCACGCCAUGACGACCUGGAAGAAAUGCAUGGUGAUCAGGAGCACCGCCUUAGCGCGUGGCCCUUCCGUGCGGCCGUGUCACCGCCCUCCCUCACCGGUGAGCGCACGCUGUUCGUCGAGCUGCUUCGGGCGCCGAGCAAGGAGGAGGAGGUGGACGACCUCGACGCCGGGGAGGAGCCCGGGUCGGAGGCCACCUUAGCGUCGCCAGGGCCGAACGCCGGCGACGAGGAGCUGCCCUGCUCAACGCUCGAAGCGCCAUCCGUGGUCGCUGCCGUCGCCACGGCCGGCGCCAUCGCCGCCCACACGGCGCACGGGAACAUCCACGCCAUGACGACCUGGAAGAAAUGCAUGGUGAUCAGGAGCACUGGGGUUUGCUUGCAGGCCCUUGUGCACGUAGUACAUCCUUGUAUAUAUAUACACGUCGCGAUUGCGAUCGCGUUCGCCUCCGACUCCGGCGGUGGUUGCAGGGGGGGCACGGCGGCGUCUGCGGGCGCGUGAUUUCCGAAAUCCGAGAUGCCACAGCGAGAUUGCCAAAAUCCUGUGGCUAAUCUAUGGAAUACUCCGGCGGUUCCUUCCAUAUACGGAACUAAUUACUGCACGGUUUAAUUACUCGAUCGCUGAUUUAUCGGAUGAGCUAGUAAUGCGGACGGAUCGCUGAUUUAUUACCAUAUUCGAUAUUUCCCGAGUUAUGGCCUUACCAUACCUGGAUUGAUAGCCUUUGGGGUAAUUUAAAUUUAUUACCAUAUUCAAAAUUUCCUGAGUUAUGACCUUACCAUACCUGGAUUGAUUUAUUACUAUACGUGGAUUAAUUAUGAUUUAUUACUAUAUGAUUUAUUACUAUACGUGGAUAGCCUUACCAUACCUGGUGGUAAUUUAAAUUUAUUACCAUAUUCGAUAUUUCCCGAGUUAUGGCCUUACCAUAUCUGGAUUGAUAGCCUUUGGGGUAAUUUAAAUUUAUUACCAUAUAAUUGCCAUAUUCAAAAUUUCCUGAGUUAUGACCUUACCAUACCUGGAUUGAUUUAUUACUAUACGUGGAUUAAUUAUGAUUGAUUACCAUAAAUACGUUGGGUAUUGCCGGUCAGACGAGAAAAGAGAAAAACCGGUGGGAGGGGCUGGUGGGAGGUGGGACGAAGAAAAACCGGUUGAAAAUAAACCGGUUGAAAAUAAACCGGUUGAAAGUGGGGGGGACUAUUCAACCAAUUCGUCCAUUAGGAGUAGAGAUGGAGCAGUUGGUGAAUAGUCCGCGCGGUUUAUUUUCGCUGGUUUAUUUUCGUCAUCCUUCCAUCAUCGGUUUUUUUCGUCAUCCUCCCACCUCUGCUUACUCGCUGCCCUCCAUCGAAAUAAACCGGUGCCAAAAAAAUCCGUCGUUCUAUCCUACGAUCUCUCAAGGACGCCCCAACCCCCAAUACGAGCCGCCGCCGAGAUCCAAGACGAGCCGCCGCGGAGGACCGAGUGGAGCCGCCGCCGGCGCUGGCCAGGCUCCCCACGAUGUGCGCGCCGGGGCGCCGCUCCCGCUCCCGCAGCCGAGCAUAGCAGCAGCGGCGGAACCCCGCCGCCGGCGAGCUCUCUCUGGCGGAGGAGGGCGGGGGCGAGCUCGCUGUCUCCCUCGCGCUCAACACCAGCGGGACGCAGGCUUCGACGUGGCCACCUACAUAGGCGCGCUCCAGGCAAGGCGCUUCGGGAGGUGGAUUCUUUGGUCGCCGCGGAUGGCAUCCACGCACGACCUCGUGACACAGUGAGUGCAAGAUUUUGUUCUUUUCAGUCUCGCUCCAUCAGAAAAAGAAAGAGACGAUGAAUUUCCUCUUGAAAUCACUCAAAUUGGGCUUACUCUUUGCUUCCCCUCUGCCUGCAGGAAACUUUGCCAAACUUCUGGUGGGCGUCGUGUGCACCACAGACGCGCAGUUCAAAGGCAGAGGUGCGUCAAAUAUGUAUGCCAAUUGGUGCUUGUUUUGUUGUCCCUUUUAGUGUGUCUCUCUGAUGAUUUUUCAAUUCAAUGUCUGUCACUUUGGUGGGUAGAUGAAUUGUGUUGUUCUGUUUGUUGUAUGUUCAGUUGAUGUUACUGAAGAUCUGAAGUUGCUGCAUGCUGUAUGGGAUAAAUAGUUCAAGAAAUAGCAAAUUUGUUGAGUGGAUUUGCAUCUGUUACACCUUAAUAUGGUAUAAAUUUUAUUUUGUGAUGUUAGUAGAGGAAAACUAUGCUGGAUAUAUUUGCUUUGUUAUACUGAUAUUGUGCCUAUUCACUUUGUUUCUUAUGUCCUGCUUCAUUUUUCUUUCUGUAAUUGUGUAGCUCAUCUCCAGGCUCGUGGAGAUGCUAUUUUUCUAUCACCCAAAUGAAAUGAACAACGCUUCAUUUGACUUAUUUAUUGUAUUUUGAUAGGUAUGAUUGGAAUAAUCAACUUUUGAUGUCAGUGCAAAGCACAUCAAUGCCUUUUGUCCAAUUACUAGAAGCUGUGGCUUGUUUGAUAAAUCUUAAACUGUCGUGGAACUGCAAAGUAGUUGGGUAUCUUCAGCAGAAAAAGAUUUAUUGCUUAUUUCGGGGAAUUAUCAGUGCAGUACCGGUAUGUUCUAUUCCAGUAUUGGCUGAUAUUUUGUUGUUACCAGCGUCUCUACUUUUUUAGGGAACUUAUUGACCACAAUAUAUAAUCAUUGAAUAAGUCUUCUUUCAGUUGAAGGAAUAUGCCUGUAUCAAUACUGUUCUUGUGAUCAUACAUACCGGCCUUUUCCAUGAUCAAUAUGCUCACAUAGUUCUUUAUCACUCGCACAUAUCUGUAUACAUCCUACUACAAGGUGUUGUUACUAUCCCGAUAUACAACAUAAACUAAUACAAUAUAUUCCUUUAUCACUUUGGCUAUACUCAUCUCGUAGUUCUAAGAUUCUUCUCCGAAGCAAUUACAACUUUACAAGGCAAUGAACCACAAGAUGGAAAGUGAAACUUGAAUACAAAGAGAAAACAUUUAGUUUUUAUUUAGUAUUUGUCUUUAAAAACUCAAAGCGACAAACUUCUAUUCCCUUGGCAAACAUAAAGAAAGCAUGGCAACAGCUAUUAUUAGCUUGGUUCUGAUUUGCAUUCGUUGGUAUGUCCAAGUGCAGUAGCGUUUAGUUAUUCUUCUUUGAUUUGUUUUGUGAUGGAUCUGAUUGUUAUCCAGCAAAAUGCAAGAAAUAUGGAGCACUGUGAUAUAUCUGCUAUGGAGCAAGUUCUCAUGCUUACUGCUUCACAUGUUGGUGGUAAUCAAUGUUGUUGUCCAGCUGUGGAUCCAAGUUGGAGUUUUUCCUUGCAGCUUCUAUCCAUUCUUUUGGCAUCGUUUGCCAAACUUCAAGAAGGUGAGCUGUUUCCAUGAUUUCUUGUUCGAUAUAUCUUUUUUCCUCAAGACAAACUUAUGCAUUGAGAACAUAUAAACUGCAAAAUGUUUUGUUUGAUGCUGCAAAUACGACAACUGCCAUUGCAUCUGAAUUAGACUGUCUCCGAAUAUGAAGCUUUAUUAUGAAUUUUUACAAUUUCUCCAUUAGAAACUUCUUCAAGGGGUGAUGUGCUUUAACUAAUUAUUUCAAUGGAUGUAUCUUUGAUCAUUCUUAUUGCUUGUUACUCCAGGUUUUCUAUGCUAAUGGGCUCAGCAAAUAUUAUACCCAUCAGAUAGCUUGCUAUUUGCCCAGUCGUGCUGAUGUUCUCCCUAAUGAUAUAUCAGCUAAACAGCCAGGAUAUGCAUGUGUUCUUGCAAAAGUACUCGAAGCUGCACCUUGGAUUUUGUCCGAACCAAAGUUCGCUUCUGAUAGAGUACGUGUCUACUGCUUCUACCUUUCGAGUUGUACAUCAUUUUGUUUAGUUAGCGGGUAACUGACGAUAUUAAAGAAGGGAAAAUGUUUAAAAAGAUAGUAUCAAUUAGGUUCCUGUACAUGAAAACAUUCUUUGCAAGUCGUGGUCUACUUCCAAAAGCAUUACGUAGGUUGGUUAGGCCCCAGUGUUUGCUUUUACACAACUAUUUUUUCUUUUCGAAUUUUUGAGCCAAGGCUGGAAGUUUGAGUCGGCAGGGAAAUUUAUUUGCACCAUGACAAUUGCUAUCCUAUUUUCCUUCUCGAGUUAUCAUUUAUGAGAAUGAUUAUGUUACAUGAAUUAUGCACUUUACAUAUAUUUUUGCUGCCGUCUAUUCUUCAUACAAGUGGGAUUGAUGUGGAGUGGAAAAUGUCAGUGACAUAAUGGAAAAGCUUCCACGUAACUAAAAGUUGUCAUACUGCAGAUAUUUCCUGAUAUUUUUGUGUCAAAGUUGCAGCAAGGCUUUUAUAGGUUCUAGCUCUUAUUAUGUCAACUGUAAAGCUUGUGUUGCACUGCAAAUCCUUAAUUGACCAUAUAUGUUGUUCAUUAUAUAUGUCUCUUCAAUAUUCUCUUGUAAUCUUUUAUGCUGGUUCUUUUGAUAUAUAUGAUGAGCAUUUAUUUGUGUCAAAGGAUGGCCAAGCAAAUGUGUUUCUCUGCUUGUUGUGGUGCUUUACAUGUAUGUAUAUAUCGUUGACAUUUCGUUUUCACAUAUGUAAUGUUAUGGUCCAUCUGAUGUAUCCGAAUCCGAUGAACGACGGUUAGAAAAGUAGUCAAUUGUUGAGAAAAUAAUGACCCAUGGCAUGUAUGCGAUGAACAGGUUUUCAAAUUUUGUCUUUGCUGAAAAGUGUAGUUCCACAAAAAGAUGAUUUCUACCAUUUGUAGAUCCUCUGACUGUAGUUUGACAACUUCAACCAAGCUUUUAUUUUAGUUAUUUCCACCUUCUAUGGUUCUAGAAAUUCAUUGUUUUUGUAUGCUUAAUUGAGCAGAGCUUGUUAAUAGUGAUCUUUUGCCAAUGACUUUGCAGGAAGAUCAAAGAAUGUGUGGGGGAAUCAUCUCCAGGUUGUCUCAUGUUCUCGUUUACAUCACAGAUGAAUGAUGCUCGCAUGCUUCCCCUUAUGCAAUAUGUCGUUUUCCUUGCCAUGACCGAAGCCAUCAAAGAUUUGUGUUGUGCUAAGGUGAGGGUUUAUGAAGUACUAUUAUAUUCGGUGUUUCUUACGCAUAUGUGAUGUUCACUGAUUGCAGUAUGAUAUUUCAUAAGGCUAAUUUCCUUGUCAUGACAUCCUGUACUAUCUAUGUGAUAACACCCAGGGACUUCCAGAGCUAGAUGUAAGGAUAAAGUGGCCUAAUGAUCUAUAUCUGAAGGGUUAAAAGUUGGUGGCAUUCUUUGUACCUUAUCAUAUGAGCCGAAAGUCUACAAUAUUUGCACUGGUAAGUAUGUUCCAAAUGGUGUUGACGCCAGCAGUAUAAGAUGAUGACGCUGUUCGUCCCAGAUAGUUCCAACCGCUUUGAUAGUUCCCAUCUCUACCCAUGUUUCUAUGCAUUAGGAGUAGAGACUCAAUGUUUCACAGUUGAGUUGCAUUUUGUUUUGGAUUCGGUACAAUCGUCAUCACACUCUCUUUCUCAAGAACGCUGUCCUCUUCUAGCCACUCAUCGACCGUAACCCUACCCGGCGAGAUUGCCGUGAUUUUCUGAUGGUGAUGGUGAUGGUCUGAUGGAUCUAGGAGGAUUGACAGUUUGUAGCAAUAUUGUAGAAUGAGAUGUUUAUUUCAUUUUAUUUGAAAUGGAUGAGUGCUCUGCAUAUUUGUUAGGAGAGAAUCCAGGUUUAAAACGUCCAUUGCCGGAGAUGUCAAGAUUUUUUAGUAGUUGAUGCAAAGGAGGAGGACUUGUUGGGUUGUGGUGAUGUCCCCGGCCUAAUUGAUGGAGAAGCAAUCCCUCAUCUCAAUGGUCGAUAGUCCUGUGAUAAAUUUCUCAUCGGUCACAUAGAGCUUGAAAAAAUCAUCUCCAUGCAUGUAUGAAAUCCCAAUGACAGUUGCAAAAUAAAAUUGAAAGUUUGGGAUGAUGAUCUAUGAUAUUUAUUACUGAUUGAUAGAGCUGACAUGUGAUUUAACAAGUAAUGAGGGUAGUUUAGGCUUCAUUAUCUUUAAUAAUUUUUGGCUUGGCCGUCAGGGUACUGCAAUGCUAUGGGUUGAUAAAGAAAGAAGGGAAAUAAACGAGAAAGCAAGACAAAAUUGGCAGAAUCACGACAAAGGACGUACCCUGCAGUGAAUUGAGAGUCGCUACUGGAAUAUUUCUUUUUGGUAAUAUUUUUUUGGGACUCCAAUUUGUUCACUUGAUGUUGAUGGGUGUUUUCGAGGGAUCUCAUACUGUUUUUCUGCCAGACCGCAUACAUCCUGAGACUCUUGUUUUGGACCUUCACGCUGUUCACUAGAUGGUUUUUCUAGGUUCUGCCGCCGAAGAUGAAGAGAGUGCUCCUGUGUUUCUUCGGAGCGAAAUGGAAGAGUUGCCUCAACGUAUCUAAGGUAACAAUCUUAUGCAUCCCCUUCUUCUUUGUGCUACCUGUCAAGAUUUAGAUGCUGCAAUUCUUCAGUUUAGAGCUGACUUAAUUAGAUGAUAGAACUGAUUUACUAAAUUGCUGGCUGGUGCAUAUAUUUCACAGUAGAAAAUGUUGGUUGUGUUCAUGUCAACGUAAUGAUGAACAACAUCAGCGCCAUGAUUUUGCCUUGCUCGAGCUUUGGUUUGUGACUAUAUAAGAUAGCAUAUCUUUGCAAUCAGUAUAAUCUAGCUAGCCAGUUUGGAGCACAAUAUUGUCACUGUAUAUGUCAAGUUUGACAGUUGCUGCCUAUUUCUAGCUAGAAGUUGGUUCCUGUAAGCAAGAGUGGUGAUCUGGAGUACUUUUACCUUGAUGUUUAUCGGAAAUAAGUUCACCUCCUCCUAAAUAGGCUGGGCUAUUUCCUGUCUUCUUGGUCGAUCGAUGGUUCACUGUAAUACUCGUUAGCUGUUCGGACCAUGUCGCCUUUUAACUUGUGAUGCUUGUGUGGCGGUACUGUUUCAUUAUCUUGUGAAAUAGUACAGGUGCUUAUUUAAUUUGUCUACCAGGUGUCCAGUUCUUAAUGUGAUCUCCUUUUUCUUGAGUAGUUAUUGCUACGAUCCUAUUUGUUAGUUCAUCUUGGUUUGGUCUGUUAUGCAACCUUUGCUCGGAAUUGUGAAUGCGGACAUAUGCAAAUCACUGCAGCCAACGACACUGAACUUGUUUGGCAAUAAAGAAACAACGAUGAUGUUUCUAACAAGUUUCCUUGCUUAUCUAUAAUAGUACUAGAAAUCGUCUGUUCAUGAGUGUCAGUUGGAUAUACUACCCAUCAGGAGACGUAAUCCAGAUUGUUAGCUUCCCUGACAUCUUCAUACAUUGUAGCACCACAUAACAUCUUCAUACAAUCAGAAUCCUUGGUCUGAUUAUAAAUACAGAGAUCUUGUGGUAUCUCACCAGCCACCAGGUGACCUGACUGGUCCAUCCAUCUUCGGCCCAUCAAGUUGCAUCUUGCGUGUCACAUCAGAUUCCUCUUGCUUUUGUGUUUAUUACUAUUUGAUUUAAUCUAAAACUAGUCCUGUACCUCUUGAUGUAGCUCUAACAAGGCCAUGAAAUAACUCAUACAAUUUCUUCAUUGUAAUUUUCCCUUUGCAAACAGUCUACAGCCUCUGAAGUUGAACGAAGCUUAAGUUUGUUCUCUUUUUAAUUCUGUAUUUUGUGCUCUUAAUAUUCCUUUAAAUAUACCUGAUCGUUGUUGUUUAUGGAAGGGAAAAGUCUCUUUGUUUGCUGAGACGAAUUUUGUUUUCCUCCAGGUCCCACUGAACCAGGUUGAGAAGUGGAAGAAGCAGAGGGAGAAUGAGACAUUUGUAGGGCCCCUCGAAAUCGUCUGUUUGAGAGUCUCCUCGGUUGCUUUCGUGUCUGCGCUACUACUGACUUGUAGUUGGAAUUUAUGCUCCUGUCAUGUACUCUCUUCCAACAUUCGCUGCAGAACAUCAAGUGAUGCUUUUCUCUAUGUUGCAUAAAUAGUUCAGCAUGCUUAUGUAUUCUCAGCAUGCUUAAAUGUACGCAUGUCUUGCCUGGGACUUGUGAAUGCCGAGAACCUACGAGACAUUUUUGGUUCUAAGUCAUGCUGAUGUGAGAGAAUAUGUUGUUGUUAUGUGACAGCGCAAUUAUGUGAUGAUAUAUUGAUUCCAAGUCAAGAGAAUUAUGUUGUUCAUGUGAAGAACCGUUGCAAGAUUAGAUUUUUAACUGCUUCACACCAUUUUAAUUCAAUAUGGCAAUCCGUUCCUGUCAAUCAUUAUUUUGUAUAGAGGGGGAUUUGAAGGAUGUGUGGCUGGAGGAGGAUUUGAGGUUUCAAGGGGAUUAGAUGGAAGAGGGGGAUUCACCAAAUCCCCUGGAAGCCUCACCUCCCAAAACCUCCAUAAUCCCUUGCUAUCAAACAAGGCCUUAAGGGAUCAUUUUAGUCCGUUCUGCGACCAAACCCGUUACAAACGGGCAGGAAAUGAUUCUUUUCUGAUCCACCUCGUUCUCUUUUCCAAUCCAUCCCCGAUUCUCUACUCCUAAUGUCUGACAUGGUAACCUUGCCUGCACGUUUUUUGUCUGAUUUUCUUCUUCUCACCUCUCAUUGGUUUUUGUCUCUUUAUAUUUACAAAAUAUCUGGGAGUCCAUACAUAGUUCGUUCACUCGACCCUCUCGCUCACACCCAUUUCUUUCCGACUUUCAAAGAAAAGUACGUCAAGCAUCAAGCCCACCGAUUUGUAUCCAAAGAAAGCACACCUUUCGGAUUUGGUUUUUACUCCUUUCGUUCCAAAAUAGAUGACUUAAUUUUAUACUAACUUUAGUACAAAGUUGGGUCAUCUAUUUUGGAACGGAGGGAGUAUUACCGAUUUUUCUUGCCAUAGAUAGUAGGCCAAAUCCCACCUAAUCAAUAUCUUCCUACAAAAAUUUCUUGCGCCCAUACAUUGAAUCCUGAAAUCCCGGACCCCACUUAUUUUUUAUUGAUCUGAUUCUGAAGACCACCUCUUUCUUGCGGCGGAGAGGCGCCAUACUUAACGCAGGUGAUGACAAAGUAUCUCAAGUUUGCAUGCCAAUGAUAUUUAUCGGACUUGAAAGGCGAUGCAUCCAUUCAAAUUGGGCAUCGCUUCUACAUGGCAUUCAGUGUAACCUGCCAAAUAUCUCCCAAGCAUAAAUGAUUAUUAUUUUGAAGUAUGGCACCCAAAUAAUUCAUCCAUGACAUGUCUUGAAAUUAAUUUAUUCUACUGAUUAUUCAGAACAUGAGUGUUAGAUUUUGUAGUCCAAAAAGAUGAUAAUGAAGUUAAGAGAAGAGAGUAUGCCUAGGAUCUAUGAACAUGAUGUGUGACAAGAGAUGGUAUGACUUCUUCAGAGAACAUCUUGAUACUUCUUUUUUCUUCAUAUAUGGCCAACCAUUGAUUAUUGUGGUGCGGAAGGUCGUGAGCACUAGAGAUUGUGGCACUAUUUAGAGGGUUGGGCGGCAACUCGGGUAGAGGGAGGUAGUGCAUGACAACAUUUGCUGACUGUUGAUGGUGGUGGCAAGUGGUUUCAUAGGUAGAGGUGGGCGGAUCAAUAGACUGGACAGAGAAAAAGGUAUGCAGAGGGAGGAAGAAGAGUAGUAGCAGCAGCGGGUGUUGGCGGCGGAGGAGAGGCAAGGGGCUAGCUGUCUUGAGUGCGGGGUGCGGGAGGUCGUGGGCACCAGAAUGGUGGUAGGUUUUAGAGGAACGACUGGCGUCAACAUUGACGGAGGUGGUGACUUGAGCAAGUGGCAACGUGUGGCAACACUCGCCGGCUGUAGGGUGGCGUUGGCAAGUGCUUAGGCAGGGAGAGGCGGGCGGGUCGAUGAAGUGGUCGAAUAAAAAAUCUGCGGCUACGGGAGGAAGACGAAGAAUUAUAGGCGGGUCAUCGUUGGAUGAGAAGGAGCAGGGGAUUAAUGGAUUCGAAGGCGGGGUACAUGAUAUCUCAGGUGGCGGAGAUGGUGGUGGUGUUUAGAGGGAUAGCCGACACAUCAUGUUACAGCAUUUCGUUUGCACCAUCCAUCCCGAACAAUCACGGAAAAUAGAAGAAAUUGGUGGAACUAUGUUAGAAAGAUCUAUUUGGGUGAAGAGAUGAGGAAUAAUGCAGUUCAUGACGGUCAUUUUCAUCGUCUACAUAUUGUCAGCCUUGUCGGCACAGGAACACAUAGAGUGAGGGGUGCGUGGGGUGAAAGAGUGAGAGGGCUGGUUGUGGUGAGAGAGUGACUGAGGUCAGAAUAAGGCUAGGCAGGUAAGCUAAAAAAACUGGAUAGACAACAUUGUUGAUUGUGAAAGAAUUUUUUAAGUGCAUCAAGUAAAUUUUAAUUUGUAACAUAUUUUUAGUUAGAUAAUCGCUCUAUAUGCAUACAUCGUCAAAUUGUUUUUUUAAUCAAUUUAUAUUGCAAGUAAAGUGGACUUCAAUUAUUACCCAAUUAUGCCCACGCUAUCUUUUCUCUACAUGUGAAAUUUAACUUGCGUUAUGUUUAUAUAACUUCGGCAAAAUAUUUCAAAAGCCCGUGGCAACGCACGGGCAUUAUACUAGUUGUAGUAGUUAGGCUAAUUAGUGGUUAGGUGUAGUGUAUAUGACACGUGGACCCUAUUGUUAGAUAAAAAGUUAAAUUAGAUUGAAAAUAUCUAAGCCUGUGACAUGUGGGUCACACCUCUCCUUUUGACUAGUCAAAUUGACAUGGUCAACUUGAAUUAAAAGUAAUUUAGAAAAUCUAAAAUAUUUUUGAAUUUAAAAAAUUCAUAGAAAAUAAUCCGUAACUCAGAUGAAAAAGUUUUAUAUAUGAAAGUUGCUCAGAAAAAUCCAACGAAUUCGGGUGCGUGUUCUGUUUACCUGCCAGAUGCCUCUAACUGUCUGAACAUGGAACAUUCCCCCUCUAGUCAUCUGUCUGACAUAGGUCCGGAAUCGGGAAAACAUUCCCGAUUCGAUUUCCCCCGUCACCUGUAUCGUGUAGCCAUACGUUAGGUCACACCUGGCACAACAUAUUGCCACGUUAUGCUUUGUGAUGCUAUCUUUGCUUUUUAUUUACUAUUUCUUCUUCCUCUUCUCUCCGGUAGACCCCGAGACCGAUGCUGCCCCUGUGACCGACCACGUCGACGAUGACCCCUCCUUGCCAGAGCAACCAGGCAAGGCCCCCUUUGAUCAUCCUGAUUUCGCCCUUUUCCUUUCUCUCAUGCUUGCAUUAGAUUUUGCUAUUGUAAUUGUUUGCUCCUAUUCUGAUGCAUAGCCUGCUUUUGUAUCUGCUAUUGUACCUUACCUGCUUAUCCUAAAAUGCUUAGUAUACGUUGGUUAGUGAUCCAUCAGUGACCCCCACCUUGUCCUUGUUGCCCCUGUUUCAUCAUCGAAGACCCGAUCAACGGGAUCGAAGACCAGGCCCCGGCACCGCACAUUACUUCCCUUAGUUGCUCGACACUACUAGGUUACUAUGGAGUGCCGAGGGUGAGACCUCUACAGCACUUCUGAUGUUAACCCUGUAGUGUAGCUAUUCGGUCGUGGUCAUCGAGGGUGAUUCCGCCUUAACCACUUCCGAUACAACUCUGUCAUGCAACCCCUCAAGUGUGAACCUCGGGGGUGAUUCCUCUUACGUUCACCUUGAUGAUUACAUCGAGUGGAAUUCACCGGGGGUGAUUCCUUGGGUUUUCCCCUUGAUGUUUAGACACACAAUUACUAUGAUUACUAUGACUUUACACUGAACCAUGUUACUAAAGACGGAUCGACCAUGAGGGGUACCGCGCGAGCAUAAUUGCGAGUGAUGUGGAGACGAGUUGACUUGGAGGGUACACGAGAGUUGAAUAUGAGGCGUGGCCGGGCAUUCUUAUCCCUUGCCGCAAGUCCUGGAGACGGGGCGAUGGGGUCACAUCUUUCGUGAGUCUCUACUCGUGACCGCACUACCAACACACUAACGGUUUGGAUAUUUGAUCCGAGGGGCCUCUGGCCUGAUAGCACUAACCAUCAUGUGGGCAUAGUAUGGGCGUUAUGCAUCGUAUGCAUCAGCCGAAGCUUAAUAGACGUUAGUGACUGAGCGGCGCGCGCCAGGUUGGACUGGUAAGCACCUUCCUUUUUGAAGGAGGUAGCUAGGUCUGCUCACCGGCCGCGUACGCAACAUGCAGGAGUUCCCGGGGCGAUGGCCCAUGACCCCUGGGGGCAUAGGUUUAGUCCAGUGUGCUGACCUCUCUAUUAAGCCUAGGUCGGGUUGCGGCGUAUUGUUUGGCCGAGGCCGGGCAUGACCCAGGAAAGUGUGUCCGACCGGAGUUAAUCGAGCAUGGUGGGUAAGUUGGUGCACCCCUGCAGGGAAGAAAACAUCUAUCGAUAGCCUGUCCUACGGUAACGGACACUUGGAGUUGUAUCCCGAUCGAUACAACUAGACCAGGAUACUUGUGAUGAGAAUUGGAUUGUGAUGAGAAAUGGAUAAUACGGCUCUGGGAUUUCUUUCUCGCAGGGAGUCGAGAAAGGAUCUCUGGCCGAGGUUGAUAACACUACUACUACUUUACUUUAUGCUACUCUACUCCCUCCUGUUUGCUGCAAGAUGGUGGUUUCCAGAAGAUGCUAGUCUUCGAUAGGACUAGGCGUUCUCUCUAUUCUGUCAUUUCUGCAGCCCGGUCCACAUAUACAGCCUUCCUUUGAUAAUGUUGCAUAUGUAAUGUAGAUCCUUGCUUGUGAGUACUUUGGAUGAGUACUCACGGUUGCUUUGCUCUCCCUUUUCCCCCUUUCUUUUUCUUUCCGGUUGAUGCAACCAGAUGUCGGAGCCCAGGAGCCAGAUGCUACUGUCGGUGCCUACUACUACGUGGAGACCGCUGACGACCAGGAGUAGUUAGGAGGCUCCCAGGCAGGAGGCAUUGCCUUUUCGAUCGUAGAUGCUUUUGUGCUGGCCUUCUUGAGGCAAACUUGUCUAACUCAUGUCUGUACUCAGAUAUUGUUGCUUCCGCUGACUCUUGUGUAUUCGAGCUUAUGUAUUCGAGCCCUCGAGGCCCCUGGCUUGUAAUAUAAAGCUUGUAUUAUUUUAAUUUGUGUCUAGAGUUGUGUUGUGAUAUCUUCCCGUGAGUCCCUGAUCUUGAUCGUACACAUUUGCGUGUAUGAUUAGUGUACGAUUAAAUCGGGGGCAUCACAAGUUGGUAUCAGAGCCGACUGCCAGUAGGUAGCCCCCUUUCCAACUCCUUGGCCGAAGUUGAGUCUAGUAAUUGAAAAACUUUUACUAACAUGGUUGUGUGGCUUACGGGCCCACGUCGCCAUUGGGUGGUACUAGGAUCCUUUACUCCUCAUCUAUACUCUUGGAUUCUGAUCUCUCUUCUAUUCGAGUUAAACAUUUUACUAACACUAACAUUAGGUUCUCGUAAACACUUCCUCCCGGAGAGCCCCGACAUUACCGAUGAUCGCUUGCUUUGCUAGAAGAUUCUACAGAUACUCCUCGAUGUUUCUCGAGACCCUGUUCCCAUUGCAUUGCAGUUCCUGACCACAGAUAAUCCCCGUGAAUAACAUCCUUGCCGCUUGUACCUUCAUACCCAGUUGAUCCCAUCAUUACAAGAUGUACUCUCCGUUGUUCCGAGAAUCCUUUGUGCCUUCUACUUUGCGGCUUCUUUUUGCACUACAGAUAAUUCACUAAACCCGUUCAUCCCCAGUUGUUCAUAUGCUUUCCAAAAUACUUGGAAAUACUAUCUGAUCUUCCAAAAAUCCUCUACAGCCUAUUACUCUUGAUUCUUCUUGCCUACUUGCAUUAUGGAUAAUCCCAUAAGUCUAGUAAUCUUAUUGGCAUCCUUUGUCACUAUCCUUUUGAGUCUGUUGAUUCAAUAUGUUACGGAUGCUCGCAAUCCUCGGUCGGAUCAUAGAAUUCAUCCUUCCGGCUUGGACGUCAUUUGACCAAGAGUUGUUUCUCGACCAAUCAAAUUGCCGUCAAUUGUAUCCCUAGGGCUAUUCAGCUUACUUAUCUUUUGAUCUGAGCGUCUGCUUCUGAUCUUCUAUUUUUGAAAUCAUGAUUUAUUUGCAUUUAAGCAUCGAAUUAUUCAGAUGUUUCUAUAAUCCGAAGCCUUUCCAUUCUUUCUUCUUCUGAUUGAGUACCGAUACUCACAUCAGAUCCUAUAUGGACCGCCAGACCCUUUGUUGGAUUUUAUCUGACAACGUCCUUCAUACUCAAUAACCUUUUGGAGCCUUUCCUCGGAUACAUAUUGCCUUUGGUAAAUUGUAUCCUCUGCCUUCUCAACCAUGCUCUGCCUUCGAGCUUGUGUUAUUUUACUCAUGGGGUUUGUGGUAUAUGUUCCCAAGAUGCCCUAUGGGUUGAACCUAUGCCUCCCAUAAUCCAUUUGAACCCGAGAGUUUUAACGAGUCUUGCUCUUCUGGUGUUUUGCCAGGUAACAUUUCAACACCACAACUUCAUCAAAAGCGAGAAGUAAAUGAAAUGAUAUGCAUUUAAGAAAUGGGAGUCGACCUUGAAGUUUGUGUUCAUGACCAUAGACACAAUGUAGAUCUUAUCAUGGAAGCUUCUCUUAUAAUAAAAUGUUCCCUUGGUAUAAGCUCAUCUUGCAUCCUUAAAUUGAUUCUUUGCAAUCGUGGUUUCGACCAUAUUUUCUCCUUGAUUCCAUUCCCGGACAAGUUAAAAACUUGUCUUCUGCAGAUCAUUUCAUCUGUCGAACCUCUAUUUUGAUCUACCUCGUAUUGUCCCUUGUUAUCUCGAGGAUAUUGUGUCAUUGCACUACCUCUUGUGAAUUCUCAUUGGAAUGAUACUCCAUCACAUCAUUCCUAUCUGAUCGGCUAUAUUUUUAUUGUGUCAACUUUUAACUGUGCUACCUGGUCCUUAUGCCCGGAGCAACUUCCAACGAUGAGCUAAGCUUACGUCAAUCUUCCUCAUCUUAUCAUUUCACCUCAAACAGCAAGCUUGACUUUGAGCUUGUGUCGAAUUCGUGGUUCUCAUAGCCUUUCACUUCAUGCUUCCUUUUCUGCUCGAUGGCAUCUUCAUUGAGUCUCUCGACAAAAUUUGUCGUGAUCACCGUCAACACUAUGGCUUCUUCAGAGAUGUCAAUUGAAUUCAUGGCUAGAAAUACCAUCCUUGCAACUCGAUGAUUUGUGUCAGCAUCGACAACAUUCUUGUCUCCCCCCCCAACACAAACUUGAUCAUAUUAAUUUUGGGAAUACAUCCUUUUUGACAUGUCGAUGGAUUGCUACUGAACCCAUCGGCCACCUCCUCAUCUUUUCCCUGAUAAAAUAGCAUGAUAUGUUCUAAAAAUUUCGAUGUAUCCUUUUGUGUUCCCAAGGUCCGACCUUUACGUAAUGACCAUGUCAAUGUUAUACCAAAGCAUGAUUGUGGUACUCCGAACCUCUUUAAAACCAUUUAGAGGCGCAAUGCUAAAUGUUUCUUGAUCACUAUCCAAACACUGUUGUAUGGGUAACGUCAUGAAUUUCCUCUCCCCUUUACCUAAAAGGUAAUCUACUACCUUUUCAUGGAUGUCAUCCUCUGCUUGUCCUUGGGAAUAAUAUACUCCCGAUAUUUGUGUUUAAACACAUUUUCCUUUCCAUGGUCUGAUUAAAUUAAUAAUCACCUUUUCAUUUCCAUUGUUUUGUUUAAACCUUUCUUGUGAUCUAUAUGAUCUAAGCAGUAAUAUCCUUCUGCUUAAAUAAACAUCUUGGUGUGCAACUCUUACAGUGAAACCCUAUUACUAUUGUUGUUGAUUAUUCUGGUAACCACCGAUGGACGAGAACUUUGCCUAAUGGUCCGCCUCGUGCCAAUGAGCAGGAAAAUAGUUCUCUUCAUCCCUCGCCCUUGGUACCAACGUUGAUGCCAACAUAACUGACAGGCUAUCCUAUGACAUGCCUUGCUAUCAUAUCCGUGCAAGAUGUCGCCGCUUUUCCUACUCUGAACACACAAGGGGGCCCAUAACCCACAGUUCCAACGGAUCGAAACCUGACUCUCCUGCACAACCUUGAUUCUGAAAUAUUCUUUGCACUUGGCUUCGUAUGUAAAUCAAGAGCCACCAUGAUUCAUUCUGGUAUCAGAGGCAACAUUAUGCCUCAUUGCUUUGAACCCCUUCUUCACCUGUUAUAGGCAUUAGUUUGAUACCUACCUGGUUGAAACUUGUUGAACCUCCUUAUAGCACUCUCGAUUUGUUUCUUGGUGCUUCUAAAAUCUCCUUCCUUGAGAUAAUUACCAGAUGCCAAUCCUUUCAAACAUCUGCCCUUAUGUUUUUUUCUUUAUACUCUAUUCGUAAGUAACCUAUUUGUAAGUAUGGUGGAGUUUCUGAAGAAAGGUUGAUGACUGCAUCAUGAUGCCCUGAUGCAGUAAAUUGAAGACAUCAACGAAAGGGAUCAACUUCUUCUAGAAGAGCAAACAAGAGUGAGGAGAUCCGUUAGAAUUUCGUAACCAGAACUACCCCCUUACUCCACAUCUUAAAUCUCGGGACGAGAUUUCUAGUAGUGGAGGAGAUUUAUAACACCCCCAGUAUCAUGCUACAGUGAUCUCAUGCCUAAUGAUGCCAUGUCAUCAUAAUUAUUAUUUUUUGCUAAUUCUCACCUUGUUCCAAACCAAAGUCAUUUUCAAACUCAAAUUCUAAGUCAAAGAUUAGAACUUCUCAAACAUGAAAAAUAAAAUGUUCAAAGUGUUGCAAAUAUUCCAUAAUUAGUUAUGGCGGUGAGCCAACAUUUUUGUAUAGUCUUUAAUUGCUCCUAAGUAUAUUUAUCAUUGGCUAAAAACAAUAAUUAAAUGCCUGUUAUAAAUUAUAAAAUAUUAAACUAAAUUUUUUAGGUGUCAGACUUUUUGUGACAGUGCUCAAUAUUUCCUAGUAUUUGUUUUGUCUAGGUCCACAUUUUUGCAAAGUCAUUUGGUGGCUUAUUUAAAUGCAAAAUGAAGCCUAUUAAAAGAAAACAGAAUAAUAGAAAGAAAACUAAAAAAAAGGAAGGAGAGAGCACGUGCCCCCAUUGGGCCUCACCCAAGUCGGCCCACCUAACCCCCGGUCAUCUUCUUCUGUUCACGACCGUGCCCGAACAGGGGCGCGUCACCGUCGAACCACCUCGCCGGCCAUGCCGCGGGAGGAUAAGGCCUCCACCGAGGCGCCCCUCCCCGCAGAUAUUUUCUUCCCACUCGCCUCACUCCUCCUCGGUGCCCUCCCUCCCAGAUCCACCUCUCCCCCUCUGCCGAUCUGGAGGAAGGGCCGAACGCCAUGGUCGCCGCACCUUCCUCGCUGCCAUGGCCAUUGUCCUCCUCUGGUCGCGCCACCGUGCAAUCCACUCCGUCGGCCACCUCUGCGUCGACUACGGCGGCCAUCUCGAGCUGGGAGGCACUACUGCGCCGGAUCCUCGUCGUCUUCAACCUCAAGCACCCACGGUAGCCGCUGCAAUCUUCGUCGAUUCGCGACCACGAGCGCCUCCCCGAGCAAGUUGAACUCCUCUACGUGAUCCCUGUGAGCUCCCCUUCACUUCCCCCUUGAUCCCCUUCUUGCGGGCUUCCUCUAGCCAUAGACAUCCUCCGGCCGAAGCUCGUCGUCCGCCAUGGCCGGAUCCCCGCUCCUCACGCGUGCUCGCCCGCUGCUGCCGCACGUCCGUCGCGCCCAGGGCCUGUCCCGGCGUGCCCACGCCUCGCUGGCCGCAUGCUGGCUCGCCCGACCGCGCUGCAGCCUCCCGCGCCGCAGCCGCCCGCGACCCUGUCGCUGCUCUGCUGCUCUUUGUACUGCUGCUGCUCUUGCAUACUGCCCUGUCCUUGCCACCGCUCACUCCUGCUCCUUGUGCUGCUCUACUACUAGCCGCUGCCACUGCGUAGUGCAGCUAGCUACUGCCGCUUCCACUGCAGAAUUGCUGCUGCCGCUCUUGUCCAUGGCCGCUAGGCCCCUGUAUGUGUGUGUGUAUGGCCGGUUGGGUCUCUGGAUGAGACCAGCCCUUUUUAGGUUAGUAGCUAAUUGUAGUAGUUAGGCUAAUUAGUGGUUAGGUGUAGUAUACAUGACAUGUGGA
This 21237-nucleotide long non-coding RNA is filed under the name Triticum aestivum (bread wheat). RNAcentral describes it as "long non-coding RNA (TAES_LNC022364)". The record is from RNAcentral. Lineage: Eukaryota; Viridiplantae; Streptophyta; Magnoliopsida; Poales; Poaceae.